RNAcentral lists this ribosomal RNA (434 nucleotides) under uncultured Lachnospiraceae bacterium. Its description in RNAcentral is "partial 16S ribosomal RNA". It matches the Rfam family "Bacterial small subunit ribosomal RNA", at positions 341 to 792 of the family's 1533-position model. The record is from RNAcentral. Lineage: Bacteria; Bacillati; Bacillota; Clostridia; Lachnospirales; Lachnospiraceae.
ACGGAAGGCAGCAGUGGGGAAUAUUGGACAAUGGAGGCAACUCUGAUCCAGCGACGCCGCGUGAGUGAAGAAGUAUUUCGGUAUGUAAAGCUCUAUCAGCAGGGAAGAUAAUGACGGUACCUGACUAAGAAGCCCCGGCUAACUACGUGCCAGCAGCCGCGGUAAUACGUAGGGGGCAAGCGUUAUCCGGAUUUACUGGGUGUAAAGGGAGCGUAGGCGGCCAGACAAGUCAGAUGUGAAAGCCCGGGGCUCAACUCCGGUACUGCAUUUGAAACUGCCAGGCUUGAGUGCAGGAGAGGCAAGCGGAAUUCCUAGUGUAGCGGUGAAAUGCGUAGAUAUUAGGAGGAACAUCAGUGGCGAAGGCGGCUUACUGGGCUUUAACUGACGCUGAGGCUCGAAAGCGUGGGGAGCAAACAGGAUUAGAUACCCUGGUA